Molecule: long non-coding RNA, 4357 nt
Filed under: Gossypium barbadense (sea-island cotton)
Lineage: Eukaryota; Viridiplantae; Streptophyta; Magnoliopsida; Malvales; Malvaceae
Description: long non-coding RNA (GBAR_LNC003067)
Source: RNAcentral
CGUGAAGAUGCUUCCUCACUUGAUGUGAUUACCGGUACAUUUUCCCUCUAUAAUGUUAAUGUUAUUGCUUUGAUUGAUCCCGGUUCUACUCAUUCAUAUGUGUGCAUGAAAUAGGUGUCUAGUAUGAAUAUACCUAUUGAGAACACAGAAUUUAUGAUUAGAGUGUCGAAUCCGUUAGGUAAAUGUGUGACUAUCGAUAAAGUAUGUAAGAAAUGUCCUUUAAUGAUUCGGGAUCAUUACUUUCCGGCCAACUUGAUGUUGUUGCCGUUUGAUGAGUUUGAUGUUAUUUUGGGUAUGGAUUGGUUGACAUUGCAUGAUGCUAAAAUAAAUUGCAAAGAAAAGAUUAUAGAAUUAAAGUGUGGAAAUGGUGAAACUCUGCGGGUUGAAUCAGAUAAAUCAGAGGCAUUGCCUAGUGUGGUUUCUUCAAUGUCGGCUCAAAGAUAUCUGAGAAAGGGUUAUGAAGCUUAUUUGGCGUAUGUAAUUAAUACAAAAGAAGUUGAAAAGAAAGUUGAAUCAGUGCCGGUUGUGUGUGAAUUUGCGGACGUAUUUCCAGAAGAAUUGCCGGGUUUGCCUCCAGUCAGGAAAGUAGAAUUUGGUAUUGAUUUGAUACCGGGAACAGCUCCGAUUUCGAUUGCUCCGUAUAGAAUGGCACCAGCAGAGUUGAAUGAACUAAAGUCGCAGUUGCAAGAGUUGACUGAUAAAGGUUUUCUGAGACCGAGUUUUUCACCUUGGGGUGCUCCCAUGUUAUUUGUGAAAAAGAAGGAUGGUUUUAUGAGGUUGUGUGUUGAUUAUUGGCAGUUAAACAAGGUGACAAUCAAAAACAAGUAUCCGUUGCCAAGAAUUGAUGAUUUGUUUGAUCAACUAAAAGGAGCGACAUGGUUUUCAAAGAUUGACUUGAGAUCUGGGUAUUACCAAUUGCGGGUAAAAGAGUCGGAUGUGCCUAAAACUGCUUUUAGAACAAGGUAUGGUCAUUAUGAAUUUUUAGUUAUGCCAUUCGGAUUGACAAAUGCUCCUGCUGUGUUUAUGGAUUUAAUGAAUCGCAUAUUUCGGCCAUACUUGGACAGAUUUGUUGUGGUGUUUAUAGAUGAUAUUUUAAUUUAUUCAAAAGAUGAGACAGAGCAUGCUGAGCAUUUGAGGAUAGUUUUGCAAACUUUGAGAGAUAAGCAGAUGUAUGCUAAGUUUAGUAAAAGUGAAUUUUGGCUCCGGGAAGUUGGAUUUUUGGGUUAUAUUGUUUCAGGUGAUGGUAUACGGGUUGAUCCUAGUAAAAUUUCAGCCAUUGUUGAUUGGAAACCACCGAAAAAUGUAACUGAAGUUAGAAGUUUCUUGGGGCUAGCUGGGUAUUAUCGGCGGUUUGUAAAUGGAUUUUCUAUAAUUGCGGCUCCUAUAAGUAGAUUACUCCGAAAGGAUGUUAAAUUUGAAUGGACGGAAGAAUGUCAACAGAGUUUUGAAGAAUUGAAAAAGUUAUUAACAGAGGCACCAGUGUUAGUACAGCCCGAAUCAGGUAAAGAAUUUGUGGUGUAUAGUGAUGCUUCUCUAAAUGGUUUGGGGUGUGUGCUCAUGCAGGAAGGAAAAGUGGUGGCAUAUGCUUCGAGGCAGUUAAAACCUCAUGAGAGGAAUUAUCCUACUCACGAUUUGGAAUUGGCUGCAGUGGUGUUGCUUUGAAAAUUUGGCGACAUUAUUUGUAUGGUGAAAAAUGUCGGGUAUAUACCGACCACAAAAGUCUUAAGUACUUGAUGUCACCAAAAGACUUGAAUUUGAGACAACGAAGAUGGUUGGAGUUGUUGAAAGAUUACGAGCUUGUUAUUGAUUAUCAUCAGGGAAAAGCGAAUGUGGUUGCUGAUGCUUUGAACAGAAAGUUGUUGUUUGCUUUGAGAGUUAUGAACACUCAGUUGAAAGUGUCAGAUGAUGGUUCGAUUCUAGCAGAGUUAAGAGCAAAACCGAUGUUUUUGCAAGAGAUUUCUGAAGCUCAGAAAGAUGAUCAAGAUUUGCAAGCCAAGAGAAAACAGUGCGAAGUUGAUACAGAGUCAGAUUUCAAAAUUGGUUCUGAUGGGUGCUUAAUGUUUAAAGAUCGGAUUUGUGUACCGAAGAAUGAGGAAUUGAUUCAAAAGAUCCUACAGGAAACACAUAGUGGUUAUUUCUCGAUUCAUCCGGGUAGUACGAAAAUGUAUAAUGACUUGAAGAAAAUGUAUUGGUGGAAUGGAAUGAAAAGAGAUAUAUCAGAGUUUGUGUCCAAAUGCUUAAUUUGUCAACAGGUGAAAGCUGAACACCAAGUGCCUUCGGGAUUACUUCAGCCUAUUAUGGUUCAUGAAUGGAAAUGGGAUCGGAUUACUACGGAUUUUGUUUCAGGAUUGCCAUUGACUCCAGGAAAGAAAGAUGCCAUCUGGGCAAUAGUUGACAGAUUAACUAAGUCGGCUCAUUUUAUCCCGGUAUGUAUGGAUUAUUCUCUUAACAAGCUGGCUGAACUAUAUAUUAGAGAAAUUGUUAGAUUACACGGAAUACCAUUGUCGAUUAUUUCAGAUAGAGAUCCAAGGUUUACCUCGCGGUUUUGGCAAAAGUUGCAAGACGCGUUAGGUACAAAGAUAAAUUUCAGUACUGCUUUUCAUCCACAAACUGAUGGACAAUCAAAGAGAGUAAUUCAGAUUCUUGAAGACAUGCUCAGAUGUUGUGUAUUGGAAUUUCAAGGAAGUUGGGAAAGAUAUUUGCCGUUGGUAGAAUUUGCUUACAACAAUAGUUAUCAGACGAACUUGAAAAUGGCACCUUAUGAAGCAUUGUAUGGUCGUAAGUGUCGAACGCCUUUGUAUUGGACUGAACUCAAGGAAAAUCAGAUUUAUGGAGUUGAUCUAAUAAAAGAAACUGAAGAAAAAGUGAAGGUAAUUCGAGAUUGUUUGAAAGCUGCUUCAGAUAGAAAGAAAUCUUAUGCAGAUUUAAAACGAAAGGACAUUGAAUUUCAAGUUGGUGAUAAAGUAUUUUUAAAGGUGUCUCCGUGGAAGAAAGUCCUUAGAUUUGGACGGAAGGGCAAAUUAAGUCCGCGUUUUAUUGGACCGUAUGAAAUAAUUGAAAAAGUUGGACCGGUAGCAUAUCGGCUAGCGUUACCACCCGAAUUAGAGAAGAUUCAUGAUGUGUUUCACGUAUCUAUGUUACGCCGGUAUCGUUCGGAUCCUUCACAUAUAAUUUCACCGACAGAAAUUGAACUGCGACCGGAUAUGACUUAUGAAGAAGAACCGAUUAAGAUUUUAGCUCGAGAAGUCAAACAACUAAGAAAUAAAAGUGUUGCACUUGUGAAAGUGUUGUGGCAAAAGCAUGGGGUAGAAGAAUGCCUAAAGUGCUUAAAUUGAAAGUAGGGACUAAAUCGAAUAAGUUGUAAAACUUGCAUUCUAGAAGUUUUUAGUAUGAAAUUGUUUUGGAAUAUUAAUGAGGAGGUCUUAAAUAACAAUUUGACCAAUUUUAAGUUCAUGGACAAAAUUAGGGCAUGGAAGGAAUUUUUGGAAAGUUUAGUAGUAAGGGUAUUUUGGUCAUUUAGUUAUUAAAAUGAAUUAAAAACAAAAUUAAAAGCCAAUUUUUGUCCAUCUUCUUCAUUAGGCCGAAAUUUUAAGGGUUCUCCAUAGCUAGGGUUUGUUUCAAGCUUCCAAGCUCCAUAGUAAGUGAUUCCAAGCCCCGUUUUUAAUGAUUUUUACGUUUUUGAGAUCGCGGUAGCUCGAUUAAGCUUAUGCUAACAAUAAUUCAACUUAGGGUUCAUAUUUGGAAAAAUACCCAUAGGUGAAAUUUGUGUAUUUUGAUGUUUUAUGAUAGAAUAUGGGGUUUUAAAUUAUGUUAGACAACUUGUGCUACUCGGUUUUGAGUGAAAACGAGUAAAAGGGCUUAAUCAGUAAAAAUACCUAAUAGUCAUAAGUACAUGUUAGAGUGAGAAUUUGAUGUUGCCAUAGAAGAGAAAAGUGAUCAGCAUGUUGUAAAACAUAAGAAUAAGGAAUAAAGUUUAAUACGGAGCCUAGGGGCAAAAAUGUAAAUAUGCAAAAGUUUAGGGGCAAAAUUGUAAUUUUGCCAAAAUUUGAGUUAAGGGUUAAUUUGAUAAUUUGAGUAUUAAAUGAGCUAAAUGUGUUAUUUUAGAUCAAGAAAGACGUGGAAUCGACCUCAAUCGAGGAAAAAAAAGAUUGUGGACUAAAUUGCAAAAUCCUUGUAUUUUGGUACCAAGUUUUGGACAAGCCAGCUCAGGAGUCGGGAUAGGUCGAAGGCUCAGUCACACUAUCCGGAAGACUUUUGGUAAAUGGCUUGUAAAUUUAAGUAUGGCAUGUAUAGCAAUAUACCUAUUUUGUGUAAAUGAUCUUAUGGUAUGGUUGUGGAAUGGUUGAGGAAAUGCUUG